CUUUCAUGUCUUUCUCCUCCUCUCCUUUUCUUAUGUCUCAAGACCUACUUACAGGGGAGAGCAGUUGUUUAGUUUCCUUUCCCAAAUAAGCAGGCACACAAAUUCAAUCCUGUGUACUGAGAUAGUAUCCUGCACAGCUGUUUUUAUUCUCUGAAUCUCUCUUGGUUUGCUGUGUUGCUUGGGUUGAGGUCUGAAGUAAAAUAAGAAAAUCCCUUGACUCUCUGCCUGGAACACAAGUGGUGGCAUAGAGGAUGUCAGCCAGUAUGCCUGGACUGCUUCCACUCUGAUGUUUUCCUGGGAUAUACACAGUUCAGGAUCCUUUUUUGCUCUUUGGGCAAUCCACAAGGAAAUGGCUACCAUAGCCAUUUCAGGUGACUUUUUUUUAAGCAUCAGAACUUGUUCUCCCCCCCCCUUUCCUAUAUCCGGUGUCAAACUUCUGUUUCCAGCUUGCGUGUACCUGUGUCGCCAAACCAGCAGCUCCUUUGGUGGGCAAGCAGACACAGUCAGCCCCAAACUUGCUGCCUCUUACCAUGUUCCCUGUACAGAGUGAUCUGACCAGUUUGGAGACAGGACCUGCCUCAAGGGAACCUUUUGCUCUCACUGGAGGCUGCAGCACAAGGUCAUACUAGAAAUGGGAACAACAAACUGAACAUGGGAGACCUUUGUCCCCUCUGUUUGCAGCAGCCACAUUGGGGAGAGAGGACGAAAAAGAUCACAGAAGAGGAAGACUGAAAGUGGCAUUAUUAAUGUAGUGCUACUUAAUAAAGUGGCAUUAACUGCUGAUGUCUACUUUAUGUUCAGCAGUGUAGUGUUAAACACUCAUUCUUCCAAAGCAUGAAUAUACUGGGGCAUGCAUACGCUCACAGGAAACUGGUGCAAGUUCGAAGCCUUGAAAAGAAGCACUUCAGAACCACAUCAAAUAGUAAGAAAGGGCUGAAAGAUAUAGUUUGGCCAACACCUCAAUGGAAAGACAUGAGGGCAGGAGGUGUUGUGAAUGGAGGCUUUUGGCAUAUUGCCAGUCAGAUCUCUAGCUAUAAAGCAAAACAAAUGCAGCCAUCUGAAAGCUUGAAUGAAAGAUGGAAGCCAAAUCCUGAAGAGAUAUCGUCAUGUACCAAAACUACUUACUGCCCAACAGAGAUCCGUGAAAGUCACUAACAGCACAAUUCACGAAGAGGAAAAGGAGGCCUAUUGAACCUGCGCCACUGGAAGGCAAGCUGUUGUUCAGAGUAUCACAACUGAUCUCUUUUCCCUUUCUUACUGACUGAGUCCUGGGGUUUCUUUUCCUGAGCUCUUAUUGCUGGAGAAUAACAUUGAAUGCAAUGUUCCCAUUCUCCCAAAGAGAAAAAUUCAAAUAUGAGCCCAGGGAAAAAGGUUGUUCUCUGUUCAUUUUUUCGUCCUGAUAGGAACGAAAGCCUGUGACAACCUUUCUAUAAAUAGGAGAGCUGCUGGGGAAAAAAGCCAUUAAAGUAAUUUCAAAUAAUUUCAUUACCAAAUAAUUUAAAUAACUUCACUGAUGGUAAUACAACUAUGGAAUGUUUUAUGGGUGUUUUUUUUCAUUUCCAUAUGCAAUGUGCUGAUUAGCAAAUGUGCUAAUUUGUCAGUAUGCCAGAUGUGAAACUAGUCAACUUUGUUUUAGCAUCCCUACAGAGCAGAUGCAUACAUAAGUCAGUGCAUUAAAAAGUAAGCAGUAAUUUCCAUGAUCUUCUGCUUUUAAAACCUAAAUUACCUAGUAAGACAAAAGAAACCUUAAGCUUUAAAUAUUGUACUGAUGCAUCUUUCAACCGUCUGUCUUCACUAAGCCAAAAGCAUUUCCUACAUGCCACUUAAUUAAAUAACAC
Long non-coding RNA from Struthio camelus australis, 1838 nucleotides. Lineage: Eukaryota; Metazoa; Chordata; Aves; Struthioniformes; Struthionidae. The record is from Ensembl.